This 253-nucleotide ribosomal RNA is filed under the name uncultured bacterium. Its description in RNAcentral is "partial 16S ribosomal RNA". It matches the Rfam family "Bacterial small subunit ribosomal RNA", at positions 524 to 776 of the family's 1533-position model. The record is from RNAcentral.
UACGUAGGGUGCAGGCGUUAAUCGGAAUUACUGGGCGUAAAGCGUGCGCAGGCGGUUUCUUAAGUCGGAUGUGAAAUCCCCAGGCUUAACCUGGGAACUGCAUCCGAUACUGGAUGGCUUGAAUCCGGGAGAGGGAUGCAGAAUUCCAGGUGUAGCGGUGAAAUGCGUAGAUAUCUGGAGGAAUACCGGUGGCGAAGGCGGCAUCCUGGACCGGCAUUGACGCUGAUGAGCGAAAGCUAGGGGAGCAAACGGG